CAGUCGCCGCGGGAAUACAGAGGGUGCGAGCGUUGUCCGGAAUUAUUGGGCGUAAAGAGCUCGUAGGCGGUCUGUCGCGUCUGGUGUGAAAUCCCGAGGCUCAACCUCGGGCUUGCAUCGGGUACGGGCAGACUAGAGUGCGGUAGGGGAGACUGGAAUUCCUGGUGUAGCGGUGGAAUGCGCAGAUAUCAGGAGGAACACCGAUGGCGAAGGCAGGUCUCUGGGCCGCAACUGACGCUGAGGAGCGAAAGCAUGGGGAGCGAACAGGAUUAGAUACCCGGGUAGUCCCUGUCUCUUAUAC
This 301-nucleotide ribosomal RNA is filed under the name uncultured bacterium. RNAcentral describes it as "partial 16S ribosomal RNA". It matches the Rfam family "Bacterial small subunit ribosomal RNA", at positions 509 to 807 of the family's 1533-position model. The record is from RNAcentral.